CUAAACGGAUUACCUUUUUCCCUUUGUACAGUCUUGUUAAUGAACAGGUUAACAAAUAACUGUACUUGUCCUGUACAUAUUUCUAUAGUAUUCUAUAGACCCCAAGGUUCUACUUACUUAUAAAGCACACACCUUAAUAAUAAAUGGCACUUUGAUAUAAAAAGUGUACAUGAUCUGCUCAUGGAACCUUAUAUUCAAAAGGAGGUAGG
Molecule: non-coding RNA, 209 nt
Organism: Pelobates cultripes (western spadefoot toad)
Lineage: Eukaryota; Metazoa; Chordata; Amphibia; Anura; Pelobatidae
Source: the annotation of a GenBank genome assembly